GACGACCUCCACUCCGUCAACAAGAACGAAGCCGUUGCUGUUUUGGGCGACGUGAAGGCGGCGGCGGGAGUGGACAAGAGUGUGCAGAGAUGCGUUGUUGCGGAAAUCGGUGAUGCGGAAAGGGACCACGUGGAGGCGGAGGGUGGCCAGGUACAACGCCGGGGAUUCGGCCGUCAAAUCGAGUCCGAAUAGGGCGGAAUCGGAAGGAGGCAAGAGAGUGAGGGAAGGAAGGGAGAGGACGUCAAAGA
Molecule: long non-coding RNA, 248 nt
Filed under: Linum usitatissimum (flax)
Lineage: Eukaryota; Viridiplantae; Streptophyta; Magnoliopsida; Malpighiales; Linaceae
Description: long non-coding RNA (LUSI_LNC000542)
Source: RNAcentral